GGCUCAUUAAAUCAGUAUCGUUUAUUGAUAGUACCUUACUACUUGGAUAACCGUGGUAAUUCUAGAGCUAAUACAUGCUAAAAAUCCCGACUUACGGAGGGAUGUAUUUAUUAGAUUAAAAACCAAUGCCCUUUCGGGGCUCCUUGGUGAUUCAUAAUAACUUCUCGAAUCGCAUGGCCUUGUGCCGGCGAUGGUUCAUUCAAAUUUCUGCCCUAUCAACUUUCGAUGGCAGGGUCUUGGCCUGCCAUGGUUACAACGGGUAACGGAGGGUUAGGGCUCGACCCCGGAGAAGGAGCCUGAGAAACGGCUACUACAUCCAAGGAAGGCAGCAGGCGCGCAAAUUACCCAAUCCCGAUUCGGGGAGGUAGUGACAAUAAAUACUGAUACAGGGCUCUUUCGGGUCUUGUAAUUGGAAUGAGUACAAUUUAAAUCCCUUAACGAGGAACAAUUGGAGGGCAAGUCUGGUGCCAGCAGCCGCGGUAAUUCCAGCUCCAAUAGCGUAUAUUAAAGUUGUUGCAGUUAAAAAGCUCGUAGUUGAACCUUGGGCCUGGCUGGCCGGUCCGCCUCACCGCGUGCACUGGUUCGGCCGGGCCUUUCCCUCUGGGGAUCCUCAUGCCCUUCACUGGGUGUGGUGGGGAACCAGGACUUUUACUGUGAAAAAAUUAGAGUGUUCAAAGCAGGCCUAUGCUCGAAUACAUUAGCAUGGAAUAAUAAAAUAGGACGUGCGGUUCUAUUUUGUUGGUUUCUAGGACCGCCGUAAUGAUUAAUAGGGACAGUCGGGGGCAUCAGUAUUCAAUUGUCAGAGGUGAAAUUCUUGGAUUUAUUGAAGACUAACUACUGCGAAAGCAUUUGCCAAGGAUGUUUUCAUUAAUCAGGAACGAAAGUUAGGGGAUCGAAGACGAUCAGAUACCGUCGUAGUCUUAACCAUAAACUAUGCCGACUAGGGAUCGGACGAUGUUAUUUUUUGACUCGUUCGGCACCUUACGAGAAAU
This 992-nucleotide ribosomal RNA is filed under the name Fusiformiascus palmicola. RNAcentral describes it as "SSU rRNA". It matches the Rfam family "Eukaryotic small subunit ribosomal RNA", at positions 95 to 1098 of the family's 1831-position model. Lineage: Eukaryota; Fungi; Ascomycota; Sordariomycetes; Xylariales; Diatrypaceae. The record is from RNAcentral.